This 1461-nucleotide long non-coding RNA is filed under the name Nicotiana tabacum (common tobacco). RNAcentral's name for it is "long non-coding RNA (NTAB_LNC011799)". Lineage: Eukaryota; Viridiplantae; Streptophyta; Magnoliopsida; Solanales; Solanaceae. The record is from RNAcentral.
GAGAACGGACACCCCCUCUUGAAAAACCCUAGCGCCGCCUUCUCCCUCCUCUUCUCUCUCACACGCCAUACUCAUGGAUUCGCCUCACCAUCUGCAGUGUCGUUUUUGAGAUUUGAAGUCCAGGGUAGCUAAAAACACAAGAGCAACAGUUGAAGAUACUCCAAAAUGCUUAAAACAUGCUAGUUUAGAUCUGUAGCUUCAAAGAGCUAUUCGGUUUUCUUUGAUUUCUUGGUCAAUCUCUGGGCUUUAGAGUGAUUUAACUCUCAAAUUGCAGCCGAGUGCUGCUGAUUCACUUCAUUACUGAGCUCCGAAUCUGCUGAUUUUCUAUAGCCCGUAUUUGGCAAAUUCUGAUCAUUUCUCUGCAUCCUAGGUACAUUACCUCAAACCUGUAAUUUCUCUUUGAUUGAUGAUGAAUUUCUAAACUUGUUUCUAGCUCAUUUGUUACAAUUUGUUGAAUCUGUUGCCUCAAUUUAGUUUGAGCAUAAGUGGAUUAUCCACAAGUUCAGUAGAGAUGUGAUACUUGUUUAUUGGAAUCUGAUCUCAUGACAAUUUUGUGAGUUUGAUUCAAAUGGGCGUUGCAACGUUUGGUUUAGCUAAUACCUAAAACAGGCUAUAGAUCUAAACAAUAAUCGUGAAUUAAGUUCUAUGAUUUGUUGAACAAUCUGUGAAUAUCAAAUGUUAUUUUUGAGGUGUAGUUGAUGAUAUGUGCACCCUCUCUAAAUUUAGCUGUUAAACCUCGGUCUUGUGACUUUGUUCAUUUUGGAAUAAUAUGCACUAGAUUCUGAUUUGCCGGAAUAAUCCAAUCCUGGUAAAUCGAGAAGCUAUUUGGACGAAAUGAAAACUAUAUAGCCUGGAGAUGUGUAUGUGUUUUCUAUGGAGAAUGUGUAAUGGAAGCAUAAAUCGAUAAGAGGGGUUGCUCUGAUGGUAAGCAACCUCCACUUCCAACCAAGAGGUUGUGAGUUCGAGUCACCCCAAGAGCAAGGUGGGGAGUUCUUGGAGGGAAGGAUGCCGAGGGUCUAUUGGAAACAGCCUCUCUACCUCAUGGUAGGUGUAAGGUCUGCGUACACACUACCCUCCCCAGACCCCACUAGUGGGAUUAUACUGAAUUGUUGUUGUUGUUGUAGAUUAGUGUAUCUUGUAAUUUAUGAAGCUAAUUGUCAGAUUCCUUUGAUUAUGUAUGGUAUAGAAUCACUUGAUCAUAGAAUGUGUUUGUCUGGCACUGAUGGCUGAAUUUUAAUAUCAUUAUGCCAUUCUAACCAUGUAGGAUUAAACAAUUUUCAAAAAGGGGAAGUGCAACUAAGCCAAUAGACAUAACUGAUGUCCCGACGUAGCUUCAAUGAGCAAUUUAGAUCAGUCACGUAACUUUUCGUUAAAUCCUUUUGAUCUCACCUAUUAAGCCCAUCAUCUGGCAAUCCCAUUUGAUCAAAUUAUAAGCAGUUCCUCGGCAAUAUUUGAGCCUGC